This 492-nucleotide ribosomal RNA is filed under the name uncultured bacterium. Its description in RNAcentral is "partial 16S ribosomal RNA". It matches the Rfam family "Bacterial small subunit ribosomal RNA", at positions 29 to 507 of the family's 1533-position model. The record is from RNAcentral.
AGUGAACGCUGGCGGUAGGCCUAACACAUGCAAGUCGAACGGCAGCACAGUAAGAGCUUGCUCUUACGGGUGGCGAGUGGAGGAAGGGUGGGGUAUACAUCGGAAUCUACUUUUUCGUGGGGGAUAACGUAGGGAAAAUUACGCUAAUACCGCAUACGACCUACGGGUGAAAGCAGGGGCUCUUCGGACCUUGCGCGAUUGAGUGAGCCGUUGUCGGAUUAGCGAGUUGGCGGGGUAAAGGCGCUCCAAGGCGAAGGUCCGUAGCUGGUCUGAGAGGAUGAACAGCCACACUGGGACUGAGACGCGGUCCAGACUCCUACGGGAGGCAGCGGUGGGGAAUAGUGGACAAUGGGCGCAAGCCUGAUCCAGCCAUACCGCGUGGGUGAAGAAGGCCUUCGUGUUGGAUAACCCUUUUGUUGGUAAAGAAAAGCAGCAGGUGAAUACCCCGCUGUUCUGACGGUACCCAAAGAAUAAGCACCGGCUAACUUCGUG